AAGAGACCUUUAGAACAGCUGGUCAUUAUGCCAACUGGGUGUCCACACUAAGUUCGGCAUCAUUAUGGUGACUUCCUGGGAGCAGGGGACUAGCAGGUUGCCUAAGGAUGGGUGAACUGGCCCAGGGUCAGAAAUGAAGCAGGUCAGAACUCCCAUGCUGAUCGGUAGUGGGACUGCACCUGGGCAGCAUAGCGAGCUCUUGGCUCUU
This 208-nucleotide small RNA is filed under the name Macaca fascicularis (crab-eating macaque). Its description in RNAcentral is "Metazoan signal recognition particle RNA (ENSMFAG00000061026.1)". The stretch from base 29 to 186 matches the Rfam family "Metazoan signal recognition particle RNA", at positions 96 to 252 of the family's 299-position model. From Rfam's summary of the family: The signal recognition particle (SRP) is a universally conserved ribonucleoprotein. It is involved in the co-translational targeting of proteins to membranes. The record is from RNAcentral. Lineage: Eukaryota; Metazoa; Chordata; Mammalia; Primates; Cercopithecidae.